Small nucleolar RNA from Erinaceus europaeus (western European hedgehog), 142 nucleotides. The record is from Ensembl. NCBI's taxonomy places the organism in Eukaryota, Metazoa, Chordata, Mammalia, Eulipotyphla, Erinaceidae.
AUCUCAGACAGAAACUUUCUUUAAAAACACGUUGAUGUGUUUCCACAAAUAUGUGGGUGGGAAAAGCUGGUAAUUAUGAAGCCAUGAGAUGAACCUUUGUGACGAUGGCAAGUCACUAAGGCUCUUGCAAGGGGCUGUAAGA